RNAcentral lists this ribosomal RNA (427 nucleotides) under Tripos fusus. RNAcentral describes it as "partial Bacterial large subunit ribosomal RNA". It matches the Rfam family "Bacterial large subunit ribosomal RNA", at positions 420 to 851 of the family's 2925-position model. The record is from RNAcentral. Lineage: Eukaryota; Dinophyceae; Gonyaulacales; Ceratiaceae.
GGACACGUGAAAUCCUGUCUGAACAUGGGGGGACCACCCUCCAAGCCUAAGUACUCCUUACCGACCGAUAGUGAACAAGUACCGUGAGGGAAAGGUGAAAAGCACCCCGACGAGGGGAGUGAAACAGACCCUGAAACUGGACGCCUACAAGCAGUCGGAGGGCGAAAGCCUGACGGCGUACCUUUUGUAUAAUGGGUCAGCGACUUAGUGUUGCGUGCAAGCUUAAGCCGAUAGGUGUAGGCACAGCGAAAGCGAGUCUUAAUAGGGCGAAUGAGUACGUAGCAUUAGACCCGAAGGCAAGUGAUCUAGAUAUGGGCAGGCUGAAGGUGCAGUAACAUGCACUGGAGGGCCGAACCGUUGAGCGUUGAAAAGCUCUCGGAUGACCUGUGUCUAGGGGUGAAAGGCCAAUCAAACUUGCUGAUAGCUG